GACGAACGCUGGCGGCGUGCCUAAUACAUGCAAGUCGAACGAGAGCGACCGGUGCUUGCACUGGUCAAUCUAGUGGCGAACGGGUGAGUAACACGUGGGUAACCUGCCCAUCAGAGGGGGAUAACAUUCGGAAACGGAUGCUAAAACCGCAUAGGUUCUUUAGUCGCAUGACUGAAGAAGGAAAAGAGGCUUCGGCUUCUGCUGAUGGAUGGACCCGCGGUGCAUUAGCUAGUUGGUGAGGUAACGGCUCACCAAGGCGAUGAUGCAUAGCCGACCUGAGAGGGUGAUCGGCCACAUUGGGACUGAGACACGGCCCAAACUCCUACGGGAGGCAGCAGUAGGGAAUCUUCCGCAAUGGACGCAAGUCUGACGGAGCAACGCCGCGUGAGUGAAGAAGGAUUUCGGUUCGUAAAACUCUGUUGUUAGAGAAGAACAGCGCAUAGAGUAACUGUUAUGCGUGUGACGGUAUCUAACCA
This 476-nucleotide ribosomal RNA is filed under the name Granulicatella elegans. Its description in RNAcentral is "bacterial SSU rRNA". It matches the Rfam family "Bacterial small subunit ribosomal RNA", at positions 28 to 485 of the family's 1533-position model. Lineage: Bacteria; Bacillati; Bacillota; Bacilli; Lactobacillales; Carnobacteriaceae. The record is from RNAcentral.